RNAcentral lists this long non-coding RNA (593 nucleotides) under Parus major (Great Tit). RNAcentral describes it as "lncRNA (ENSPMJG00000017277.1)". Lineage: Eukaryota; Metazoa; Chordata; Aves; Passeriformes; Paridae. The record is from RNAcentral.
GGCAGUUCCUGCUGCCAGCAGCUGGUUUAGAGGCUCAACAACACCAAAAUCAUUGAUGGCUGCAGGUCACACCAGCUACGAGGUCUGAGCUACUCUGCACACAUCUGUUCUCAAGAGACAGAAGAAGGUUCAUCAUCAGUGUCUCCCAGAGCUUCAGAGCACAGGAGGACACCUACUCAGAGAAGACCUUUUGGUACUUCCCAUUGCUUUCCCAGGGAAGAUAAAAUCAGGUCACAUACAGCUUCUAAUAAAGUAAUUCUGUUCUGAGAAUGGCCAUUCAUUACUUGAAGGUUUUCUUCUAUGACCUCCUGGGGGAUUUCAGGGGAUCCUGGAGCAUUUUCAAGUAUCCUACAAACCUGGGGAAACCCCAGUGGCUGUGAGAUCUCCCCCAAAAUCAUGGAGCCUUUGCUGUAGGGCUCCACAGUCAAAGGAGACAUCAGUGGUCUUUCUGGGACUUUGAGGAGGCCAUAGCUGCAUGAGAGGAAAAAAACCCCUCUGUGUGCAGGAGUGGCUGUGUUACCCUGUGGGCAGGGUGAAGUAAGGCUCAUCUGAGGUAGGCACAGGAGUGGGUGGUACCAAGGUGUGGAGAGCAA